This 253-nucleotide ribosomal RNA is filed under the name uncultured bacterium. RNAcentral's name for it is "partial 16S ribosomal RNA". It matches the Rfam family "Bacterial small subunit ribosomal RNA", at positions 524 to 776 of the family's 1533-position model. The record is from RNAcentral.
UACGUAGGGUGCAAGCGUUAUCCGGAAUUAUUGGGCGUAAAGAGCUCGUAGGCGGUUUGUCGCGUCUGCUGUGAAAACUGGAGGCUCAACCUCCAGCCUGCAGUGGGUACGGGCAGACUAGAGUGCGGUAGGGGAGAUUGGAAUUCCUGGUGUAGCGGUGGAAUGCGCAGAUAUCAGGAGGAACACCGAUGGCGAAGGCAGAUCUCUGGGCCGUAACCGACGCUGAGGAGCGAAAGCAUGGGGAGCGAACAGG